AGUGAACGCUGGCGGUAGGCCUAACACAUGCAAGUCGAACGGUAGCACAGUAAGAGCUUGCUCUUACGGGUGGCGAGUGGCGGACGGGUGAGGAAUACAUCGGAAUCUACUUUUUCGUGGGGGAUAACGUAGAGAAACUUACGCUAAUACCGCAUACGACCUACGGGUGAAAGCAGGGGAUCUUCGGACCUUGCGCGAUUGAAUGAGCCGAUGUCGGAUUAGCUAGUUGGCGGGGUAAAGGCACACCAAGGCGACGAUCCGUAGCUGGUCUGAGAGGAUGAUCAGCCACACUGGAACUGAGACACGGUCCAGACUCCUACGGGAGGCAGCAGUGGGGAAUAUUGGACAAUGGGCGAAAGCCUGAUCCAGCCAUACCGCGUGGGUGAAGAAGGCCUUCGGGUUGUAAAGCCCUUUUGUUGGGAAAGAAAAGCAGCAGGUUAAUACCCCGCUGUUCUGACGGUACCCAAAGAAUAAGCACCGGCUAACUUCGUG
This 492-nucleotide ribosomal RNA is filed under the name uncultured bacterium. RNAcentral describes it as "partial 16S ribosomal RNA". It matches the Rfam family "Bacterial small subunit ribosomal RNA", at positions 29 to 507 of the family's 1533-position model. The record is from RNAcentral.